This 490-nucleotide ribosomal RNA is filed under the name uncultured bacterium. RNAcentral's name for it is "bacterial SSU rRNA". It matches the Rfam family "Bacterial small subunit ribosomal RNA", at positions 8 to 507 of the family's 1533-position model. The record is from RNAcentral.
AGAGUUUGAUCAUGGCUCGAGGACGAACGCUGGCGGCGUGCCUAACACAUGCAAGUCGAACGGAGAUGUUGAUUUCGGUUGACGUCUUAGUGGCGAACGGGUGAGUAACGCGUGAACAAUCUGACCUUAAGAGGGGGAUAACAACGAGAAAUCGUUGCUAAUACCGCAUAAGACCACAAUGCCGCAUGGCGAAGGGGGUCAAAAGGGAGCAAUCCGCUUAAGGAGGGGUUCGCGUCCCAUUAGGUAGUAGGUGAGGUAACGGCCACCUAGCCGACGAUGGGUAGCCGAGCUGAGAGGCUGAUCGGCCACACUGGAACUGAGACACGGUCCAGACUCCUACGGGAGGCAGCAGUGGGGAAUAUUGGGCAAUGGGCGCAAGCCUGACCCAGCAACGCCGCGUGAGGGAAGAAGGUUUUCGGAUUGUAAACCUCUGUCGCAGAUGACGAAACAAAUGACGGUAAUCUGUGAGGAAGCCCCGGCUAACUACGUG